Long non-coding RNA from Pezoporus occidentalis (night parrot), 1034 nucleotides. RefSeq lists it as uncharacterized. The transcript is spliced from 2 exons. The record is from RefSeq and is a predicted model, not a curated record. Lineage: Eukaryota; Metazoa; Chordata; Aves; Psittaciformes; Psittacidae.
GCUGGACUGACCUUCAAAACCAAAGUUAGAGAAGGACUCAGUUAAUGUAUGUCUACAGACUUGUAACUUGAUUUUUAUAUAAGUGCUAAGCUAACUCUGUUUAAUUGAUUUUCCACAUUGUACACUGAGAAAUAGGAUUUUUAUGGCUCUUGAAUAAUUCAGAACUUUGAUUCCUAAGGCAAAAAAAAUGGGCAAGGAAUAAAAGCAUAAUUAUCAUUGUAGCAGAGGUCAAAAGGACAAGCUGGCCAUAAGUUCAUAAUGUGCUUGUGCUCUUGGACUCAUUGUGGACUGUGGAAUAAUACCUUGUUGAAAUCUUAUUACUUAAGGAAAAAAAAAGAAAAAGAAAAAAGCACACAGGCAGUUAGCUGCAAAAGAAAAGGAGGAAGUGUUAAUUUUUAAGCAAGUUUGACAAAGAUUGAGUUUCAUAUGACAAAUACUGUCAGCAAGACAGGAUUCUGUCAGUGGAAGAAGUUUAAACAUUAACAAUUUCUGUCAGGCUGUUGACACAACCACGGCAGACAUUUCCCAAGAUGCUGAGAUGACUGCUGGCAUUUGUCAACAAUCCUGUCACAGUGACAGCAAUAAGACCAUGUCUGGAAAUGUGACAGUUUUGGCUUUGUGUCCCCCUGAGCAUUGGCCCAGGUGUUCAGAGAAAGUGUGGGAAAAACCCGUAUUUCUGCAUUGUCAUUCGAACGCAGAAAAACACAGGAGGAAAAUGAGCUGUCACUCCAAUUCCCAUGAUGCCUUGCUGCUUAGCAUAACUCUACUCUGUGGCCCAGGGUCCACUGGUCCAUACUCUGACAGAUAAUUAAGAAAGCAGCAGCUUUUUCUAGACGGCUCUUCCUCAUGAUUUGCAUUUUAGCCAGAGGCGACCAGCUAUAAAAAAAACAUGAUGGAAAGAUGAUAAAAAAUUAGGAAAAAGAUAUAAAGCAAAUUCACAACAUUCUAAAGGCCAGGUUAUACUCAUCCAUGCUAAAUAGCAGUCGGGGGGGUUUCUACCGGAACAAAGUGGACCAGUCAUAUUAAUCAAGUAA